RNAcentral lists this ribosomal RNA (468 nucleotides) under uncultured bacterium. Its description in RNAcentral is "partial 16S ribosomal RNA". It matches the Rfam family "Bacterial small subunit ribosomal RNA", at positions 28 to 507 of the family's 1533-position model. The record is from RNAcentral.
GACGAACGCUGGCGGCGUGCUUAACACAUGCAAGUCGAACGGAAAGGCCCUGCUUUUGUGGGGUGCUCGAGUGGCGAACGGGUGAGAAACACGUGAGUAACCUGCCCUUGACUUUGGGAUAACUUCAGGAAACUGGGGCUAAUACCGGAUAGGAGCUCCUGCUGCAUGGUGGGGGUUGGAAAGUUUCGGCGGUUGGGGAUGGACUCGCGGCUUAUCAGCUUGUUGGUGGGGUAGUGGCUUACCAAGGCUUUGACGGGUAGCCGGCCUGAGAGGGUGACCGGCCACAUUGGGACUGAGAUACGGCCCAGACUCCUACGGGGGGCAGCAGUGGGGAAUAUUGCACAAUGGGCGGAAGCCUGAUGCAGCAACGCCGCGUGCGGGAUGACGGCCUUCGGGUUGUAAACCGCUUUCGCCUGUGACGAAGCGUGAGUGACGGUAAUGGGUAAAGAAGCACCGGCUAACUACGUG